GAUGAACGCUGGCGGCGUGCCUAAUACAUGCAAGUCGAACGCAUUGUGGUUGAAAUGAUAUGAAGAACUUGUUCAGAUUUGAUUUUCAACAUUGCAAUGAGUGGCGAACGGGUGAGUAACACGUGGGAAACCUACCUCUUAGCAGGGGAUAACAUUUGGAAACAAAUGCUAAUACCGUAUAAUAAUUAAAACCGCAUGGUUUUAGUUUAAAAGAUGGUCUUGCUAUCACUAAGAGAUGGUCCCGCGGUGUAUUAGUUAGUUUGGUGAGGUAAUGGCUCACCAAGACAAUGAUACAUAGCCGAGUUGAGAGACUGACCGGCCACAAUGGGACUGAGACACGGCCCAUACUCCUACGGGAGGCAGCAGUAGGGAAUCUUCCACAAUGGACGAAAGUCUGAUGGAGCAACGCCGCGUGUGUGAUGAAGGGUUUCGGCUCGUAAAACACUGUUGUAAGAGAAGAAUGACAUUGAGAGUAACUGUUCAAUGUGUGACGGUAUCUU
Molecule: ribosomal RNA, 500 nt
Filed under: uncultured bacterium
Lineage: Bacteria
Description: bacterial SSU rRNA
Rfam family: Bacterial small subunit ribosomal RNA
Source: RNAcentral